Molecule: ribosomal RNA, 594 nt
Filed under: Loma morhua
Lineage: Eukaryota; Fungi; Microsporidia; Glugeidae
Description: SSU rRNA
Rfam family: Microsporidia small subunit ribosomal RNA
Source: RNAcentral
UGGCGACGCGAAAGAGAAAUCGAGUAGGGCCCUGGGGAGAGUACACGCGCAAGCGAGAAAUUUAAAGGAAAUUGACGGAAGAACACCACAAGGAGUGGAGUGUGCGGCUUAAUUUGACUCAACGCGGGACAACUUACCGGGCCCGACGACCGUAAGAGUGUGACACACGAUAGGUCGAAGAGUGGUGCAUGGCCGUUAACGACGAGUGGAGUGAUCUUUGGGUUAAGUCCGUAAAUUAGUGAGACCUCAGCCGUAAGGGACAGGUGCGCAAAGCACAGGAAGGAUGGGUCAAGGACAGGUCAGUGAUGCCCUUAGAUGGUCCGGGCUGCACGCGCACUACAGUGGUCGCCGAAAUUAGCUGAUAAUUUUAAAGGCGAUCGAGAGGGAAUGAGCUUUGUAAGAGGCUCAGGAACGAGGAAUUGCUAGUAAUCGCGGACUCAUUAAGACGCGAUGAAUACGUCCCUGUUCUUUGUACACACCGCCCGUCGUUAUCGAAGAUGAAGACAGGCGCGAACGAUCUACCAGAAAGUGAGCGCAGGUCUUUAGAUCUGAUACAAGUCGUAACAAGGUAGCUGUAGGUGAACCUGUAGCUGG